GAUGAACGCUGGCGGCGUGCUUAACACAUGCAAGUCGAACGGAGCACCUCGGAUCAAGUUUUCGGACGAGAGAAGAGACUGCUUAGUGGCGGACGGGUGAGUAACGCGUGAGGAACCUGCCUUGGAGAGGGGAAUAACACAAGGAAACUUGUGCUAAUACCGCAUGAAGCAUAGAUAUCGCAUGGUAUUUAUGCCAAAGAUUUAUCGCUCUGAGAUGGCCUCGCGUCUGAUUAGCUAGUAGGUGGGGUAAUGGCCCACCUAGGCGACGAUCAGUAGCCGGACUGAGAGGUUGACCGGCCACAUUGGGACUGAGAUACGGCCCAGACUCCUACGGGAGGCAGCAGUGGGGAAUAUUGGGCAAUGGGCGCAAGCCUGACCCAGCAACGCCGCGUGAAGGAAGAAGGCUUUCGGGUUGUAAACUUCUUUUAUUUAGGACGAAAAAAAUGACGGUACUAAAUGAAUAAGCCACGGCUAACUACGUGCCAGCAGCCGCAGUAAGAC
RNAcentral lists this ribosomal RNA (501 nucleotides) under uncultured bacterium. RNAcentral describes it as "bacterial SSU rRNA". It matches the Rfam family "Bacterial small subunit ribosomal RNA", at positions 28 to 526 of the family's 1533-position model. The record is from RNAcentral.